CUAUGGUCUGUAAAAUGAUCAUGGCAAAAGGAG
Molecule: non-coding RNA, 33 nt
Organism: Lactobacillus sp. ASF360
Lineage: Bacteria; Bacillati; Bacillota; Bacilli; Lactobacillales; Lactobacillaceae
Source: Rfam